This 2126-nucleotide small RNA is filed under the name Pongo abelii (Sumatran orangutan). RNAcentral's name for it is "retained intron". Lineage: Eukaryota; Metazoa; Chordata; Mammalia; Primates; Hominidae. The record is from RNAcentral.
CGAUUCGCAGCGGGCGCCGGAAGCGGUCUUGUGUCUGCAGCUCUGGCAGAGGACUGUUCCACUAGACACGUUGAAGGGACUGGGUACGUGUUUUCCUUCAGGACCAGAGCUGAGAGGAGCCGGGAUCGCGGCGGCAAUGGAACGGGCCUCAGAAAGGCGCACGGCCAGCGCGCUUUUUGCGGGGUUCCGGGCCUUGGGACUUUUCAGCAACGACAUUCCACACGUGGUGCGGUUCAGCGCGCUCAAGCGCCGGUUCUAUGUAACAACCUGCGUGGGCAAGAGUUUCCACACCUAUGACGUUCAGAAACUUAGUCUGGUUGCAGUAAGUAAUUCUGUUCCACAGGAUAUCUGCUGUAUGGCAGCUGAUGGCAGAUUAGUCUUUGCUGCUUAUGGAAAUGUUUUCUCUGCAUUUGCCCGUAAUAAAGAGAUAGUACAUACCUUUAAGGGUCAUAAGGCAGAAAUCCAUCUCUUGCAACCCUUUGGAGACCACAUUAUCUCUGUUGAUACUGACAGCAUUCUUAUUAUUUGGCACAUAUAUUCAGAAGAAGAAUACCUGCAGUUGACUUUUGAUAAAUCAGUAUUUAAAAUUUCUGCAAUUUUGCAUCCAAGUACCUACUUGAAUAAAAUACUUCUGGGCAGUGAACAAGGAAGCCUGCAGUUGUGGAAUGUAAAAUCCAAUAAACUUCUAUAUACAUUUCCAGGAUGGAAAGUUGGAGUGACAGCUCUUCAGCAGGCACCAGCCGUGGAUGUUGUUGCUAUUGGUCUUAUGUCAGGUCAAGUUAUCAUUCAUAACAUUAAAUUUAAUGAAACAUUAAUGAAGUUUCGUCAAGACUGGGGACCCAUUACUUCAAUUUCAUUUCGCACAGAUGGUCAUCCAGUAAUGGCAGCUGGAAGCCCAUGUGGCCAUAUUGGACUCUGGGAUCUAGAAGACAAAAAAUUAAUCAACCAAAUGAGAAGUGCACACUCUACAGCAAUUGCCGGACUGACAUUUCUCCAUAGAGAGCCACUUCUUGUCACAAAUGGCGCUGACAAUGCUCUUAGGAUAUGGAUAUUUGAUGGUCCUACAGGUGAAGGCCGACUUUUGAGAUUCAGAAUGGGUCAUAGUGCUCCUCUUACCAAUAUCAGAUAUUAUGGACAGAAUGGACAGCAGAUUCUAAGUGCAAGUCAAGAUGGAACUCUUCAGUCGUUUUCCACGGUACAUGAAAAAUUCAAUAAGAGCUUGGGACAUGGAUUAAUAAAUAAAAAGAGAGUUAAACGUAAAGGACUUCAGAAUACCACGUCAGUGAGACUUCCACCCAUCACAAAGUUUGCAGCAGAGGAAGCUCGUGAAAGUGACUGGGAUGGUAUCAUUGCUUGCCAUCAAGGUAAGCUAUCUUGCUCAACCUGGAAUUAUCAAAAAUCUACAAUAGGCGCUUACUUUCUCAAGCCAAAAGAGUUGAAGAAAGAUGACAUAACUGCAACAGCAGUGGAUAUAACUUCUUGUGGAAACUUUGCUGUAAUUGGCCUCUCAUCAGGAACUGUAGAUGUAUAUAACAUGCAGUCUGGCAUACAUCGAGGAAGUUUUGGCAAGGAUCAAGCUCACAAGGGAUCUGUUAGAGGUGUCGCAGUGGAUGGAUUAAACCAGUUGACAGUUACAACUGGUAGUGAAGGAUUACUCAAAUUCUGGAACUUUAAAAACAAAAUUUUAAUCCAUUCUGUGAGCCUCAAUUCAUCUCCAAAUAUCAUGUUGCUACAUAGGGACAGUGGCAUUCUGGGACUCGCCUUGGAUGACUUCUCCAUUAGUGUUCUGGACAUAGAAACUAGGAAGAUUGUCAGAGAGUUUUCUGGACACCAAGGCCAAAUAAAUGACAUGGUAAAACAAACUCUAACUAAUAAAACUUGACUCAUUUCUACAUUUGUUUGGGUGUGUUAUCCUUUAAUAGCCUUAAAAUCAUUAUAUGAGGUGGUUAUCAAUUUUAAUUUGCAGGCUAUUUUUCAAAGAUUUUAAAGGAAAAUUUUGAAUUAAAAGUUUAAUAUUUUUCAGGGAGUUGAUGCGAUCAAAUUAAAGUAUAAGUUUUAGAGCUCGUCUGUUUUUUCAUUAACUCUAAACAAGGCCAAAGUAUACUUUAGAGAAUGAAUGAUCCAUU